This 1310-nucleotide ribosomal RNA is filed under the name Staphylococcus aureus. RNAcentral describes it as "bacterial SSU rRNA". It matches the Rfam family "Bacterial small subunit ribosomal RNA", at positions 1 to 1292 of the family's 1533-position model. The record is from RNAcentral. Lineage: Bacteria; Bacillati; Bacillota; Bacilli; Caryophanales; Staphylococcaceae.
UUUAUGGAGAGUUUGAUCCUGGCUCAGGAUGAACGCUGGCGGCGUGCCUAAUACAUGCAAGUCGAGCGAACGGACGAGAAGCUUGCUUCUCUGAUGUUAGCGGCGGACGGGUGAGUAACACGUGGAUAACCUACCUAUAAGACUGGGAUAACUUCGGGAAACCGGAGCUAAUACCGGAUAAUAUUUUGAACCGCAUGGUUCAAAAGUGAAAGACGGUCUUGCUGUCACUUAUAGAUGGAUCCGCGCUGCAUUAGCUAGUUGGUAAGGUAACGGCUUACCAAGGCAACGAUGCAUAGCCGACCUGAGAGGGUGAUCGGCCACACUGGAACUGAGACACGGUCCAGACUCCUACGGGAGGCAGCAGUAGGGAAUCUUCCGCAAUGGGCGAAAGCCUGACGGAGCAACGCCGCGUGAGUGAUGAAGGUCUUCGGAUCGUAAAACUCUGUUAUUAGGGAAGAACAUAUGUGUAAGUAACUGUGCACAUCUUGACGGUACCUAAUCAGAAAGCCACGGCUAACUACGUGCCAGCAGCCGCGGUAAUACGUAGGUGGCAAGCGUUAUCCGGAAUUAUUGGGCGUAAAGCGCGCGUAGGCGGUUUUUUAAGUCUGAUGUGAAAGCCCACGGCUCAACCGUGGAGGGUCAUUGGAAACUGGAAAACUUGAGUGCAGAAGAGGAAAGUGGAAUUCCAUGUGUAGCGGUGAAAUGCGCAGAGAUAUGGAGGAACACCAGUGGCGAAGGCGACUUUCUGGUCUGUAACUGACGCUGAUGUGCGAAAGCGUGGGGAUCAAACAGGAUUAGAUACCCUGGUAGUCCACGCCGUAAACGAUGAGUGCUAAGUGUUAGGGGGUUUCCGCCCCUUAGUGCUGCAGCUAACGCAUUAAGCACUCCGCCUGGGGAGUACGACCGCAAGGUUGAAACUCAAAGGAAUUGACGGGGACCCGCACAAGCGGUGGAGCAUGUGGUUUAAUUCGAAGCAACGCGAAGAACCUUACCAAAUCUUGACAUCCUUUGACAACUCUAGAGAUAGAGCUUUCCCCUUCGGGGGACAAAGUGACAGGUGGUGCAUGGUUGUCGUCAGCUCGUGUCGUGAGAUGUUGGGUUAAGUCCCGCAACGAGCGCAACCCUUAAGCUUAGUUGCCAUCAUUAAGUUGGGCACUCUAAGUUGACUGCCGGUGACAAACCGGAGGAAGGUGGGGAUGACGUCAAAUCAUCAUGCCCCUUAUGAUUUGGGCUACACACGUGCUACAAUGGACAAUACAAAGGGCAGCGAAACCGCGAGGUCAAGCAAAUCCCAUAAAGUUGUUCUCAGU